GAUGAACGCUGGCGGCGUGCCUAGUACAUGCAAGUCGAACGGCAGCACGGGUGCUUGCACCUGGUGGCGAGUGGCGAACGGGUGAGUAAUAUAUCGGAACGUACCUUAUUGUGGGGGAUAACGCAGCGAAAGCUGUGCUAAUACCGCAUAAUCCCUAAGGGGGAAAGCGGGGGACCGUAAGGCCUCGCGCAAUUAGAGCGGCCGAUACCUGAUUAGCUAGUUGGUGAGGUAAAGGCUCAACAAGGCAACGAUCAGUAGCUGGUCUGAGAGGACGAUCAGCCACACUGGGCCUGGGACCCGGCCCAGACUCAUACGGGAGGCAGCAGUGGGGAAGUUUGGACAAUGGGGGCAACCCUGAUCCAGCAAUGCCGCGUGAGUGAAGAAGGCCUUCGGGUUGUUAAGCUCUUUUGUCAGGGAAGAAACAGCAGCUCUAACACAGUUUGCGAAUGACGGUACCUGAAGAAUAAGCACCGGCUAACUACGUGCCAGCAGCCGCAGUAA
This 501-nucleotide ribosomal RNA is filed under the name uncultured bacterium. RNAcentral describes it as "partial 16S ribosomal RNA". It matches the Rfam family "Bacterial small subunit ribosomal RNA", at positions 28 to 523 of the family's 1533-position model. The record is from RNAcentral.